UAGGGAAUCUUCCACAAUGGGCGAAAGCCUGAUGGAGCAACGCCGCGUGUGUGAUGAAGGCUUUCGGGUCAUAAAGCACUGUUGUAUGGGAAGAACAGCUAGAAUAGGAAAUGAUUUUAGUUUGACGGUACCAUACCAGAAAGGGACGGCUAAAUACGUGCCAC
This 164-nucleotide ribosomal RNA is filed under the name uncultured bacterium. Its description in RNAcentral is "partial 16S rRNA". It matches the Rfam family "Bacterial small subunit ribosomal RNA", at positions 355 to 511 of the family's 1533-position model. The record is from RNAcentral.